RNAcentral lists this microRNA (22 nucleotides) under Lotus japonicus. Its description in RNAcentral is "lja-miR11108m-3p". Lineage: Eukaryota; Viridiplantae; Streptophyta; Magnoliopsida; Fabales; Fabaceae. The record is from miRBase by way of RNAcentral.
UUGGAUGAUGAAUUAUUUAACC